AAUGAACGCUGGCGGCGUGCCUAAUACAUGCAAGUCGAACGGAGUGGCGCGCGGGCGGGUAAUUUAUAGCUAAUCUGCCCUCCCCUCGAGGACAACAGUUGGUAUCGGCUGCUAAUUCUCACUAGUGUAGUGUGAGGCUAUAUUGUAUCAACUAGUUGGUUAGGUGAUGGCUCACCAAGGCUAUGACGCAUAACUGGUCUGAGAGGAUGAUCAGACACACUGGAACGGAGACACAGUCCAGACUCCUACGGGAAGCAGCAGUAGGGAAUAGUGCUCAAUGGGGGAAACCCUGAAGCAGCAACGCCGCGUGGAGGAUGACACUUUUCGGAGAGUAAACUCCUUUUGUUAGGGAAGCGGUACCUAACGAAUAAGCACCGGCUAACUCCGUGCCAGCCGCCGCGGUAAUUC
This 408-nucleotide ribosomal RNA is filed under the name uncultured bacterium. RNAcentral describes it as "partial 16S ribosomal RNA". It matches the Rfam family "Bacterial small subunit ribosomal RNA", at positions 29 to 526 of the family's 1533-position model. The record is from RNAcentral.